This 329-nucleotide unclassified non-coding RNA is filed under the name soil metagenome. RNAcentral describes it as "partial contains 5.8S ribosomal RNA, internal transcribed spacer 2, and large subunit ribosomal RNA". The stretch from base 1 to 120 matches the Rfam family "5.8S ribosomal RNA", at positions 35 to 154 of the family's 154-position model. The record is from RNAcentral.
GAUGAAGAACGUAGCGAAAUGCGAUAAGUAGUGUGAAUUGCAGAAUUCAGUGAAUCAUCGAAUCUUCGAACGCACAUUGCGCCCCUUGGUAUCCCGAGGGGCAUGCCUGUUCGAGCGUCAUUUCACCACUCAAGCCUGGCUUGGUGUUGGGCGACGUCCCCUUUGGGGACGCGCCUCGAAACGCUCGGCGGCGUGGCACCGGCUUUAAGCGUAGCAGAAUCUUUCGCUUUGGAAGUCGGGGCCCCGUCUGCCGGAAGACCUACUCGCAAGGUUGACCUCGGAUCAGGCAGGGAUACCCGCUGAACUUAAGCAUAUCAAUAAGCGGAGGA